Molecule: ribosomal RNA, 492 nt
Filed under: uncultured bacterium
Lineage: Bacteria
Description: partial 16S ribosomal RNA
Rfam family: Bacterial small subunit ribosomal RNA
Source: RNAcentral
AGUGAACGCUGGCGGUAGGCCUAACACAUGCAAGUCGAACGGCAGCACAGUAAGAGCUUGCUCUUACGGGUGGCGAGUGGCGGACGGGUGAGGAAUACAUCGGACUCUACUUUUUCGUGGGGGAUAACGUAGGGAAACUUACGCUAAUACCGCAUCCGACCUACGGGUGAAAGCAGGGGAUCUUCGGACCUUGCGCGAUUGAAUGCGCCGAUGUCGGAUUAGCUAGUUGGCGGGGUAAAGGCCCACCAAGGCGGCGAUCCGUAGCUGGUCUGAGAGGAUGAUCAGCCACACGGGAGGGGGAACACGGUCAAGAGUACUACGGGAGGGAGCAGUGGGGUAUGUGGGACAAUAGGGGCAAGCAUGAUCCAGCCAUAGCGCGUGGGUGAAGGAGGCGCUCGGGUUGUAAAGCCCUUUUGUUGGGAAAGAAAAGCAGCAGGUUAAUACCCCGCUGUUCUGACGGUACCGAAAGAAUAAGCACCGGCUAACUUCGUG